UGACGGUACCUGACUAAGAAGCCCCGGCUAACUACGUGCCAGCAGCCGCGGUAAUACGUAGGGGGCAAGCGUUAUCCGGAUUUACUGGGUGUAAAGGGAGCGUAGACGGUAUGGCAAGUCUGAAGUGAAAGCCCGGGGCUCAACCCCGGGACUGCUUUGGAAACUGUUAAACUAGAGUGUCGGAGAGGCAAGUGGAAUUCCUAGUGUAGCGGUGAAAUGCGUAGAUAUUAGGAGGAACACCAGUGGCGAAGGCGGCUUGCUGGACGAUGACUGACGUUGAGGCUCGAAAGCGUGGGGAGCAAACAGGAUUAGAUACCCUG
RNAcentral lists this ribosomal RNA (320 nucleotides) under uncultured bacterium. Its description in RNAcentral is "bacterial SSU rRNA". It matches the Rfam family "Bacterial small subunit ribosomal RNA", at positions 470 to 789 of the family's 1533-position model. The record is from RNAcentral.